AGCAGCCGCGGUAAUUCCAGCUCCAAUAGCGUAUAUUAAAGUUGCUGCAGUUAAAAAGCUCGUAGUUGAAUUUCGGGACUAAUAUGUCGGUCGUGCCUCGGUACGUACUGGUUUAUUGGUUUCUCCUUUCUGAAGAACCAUGAUGUCAUUUAUUUGGUGUCGUGGGGAAUCAGGACUGUUACUUUGAAAAAAUUAGAGUGUUUAAAGCAGGCUCACGCUUGAAUACAUUAGCAUGGAAUAAUGAAAUAGGACGUUUGAUUCUAUUUUGUUGGUUUCUAGGAUCGACGUAAUGAUUAAUAGGGAUAGUUGGGGGCAUUAGUAUUCAAUUGUCAGAGGUGAAAUUCUUGGAUUUAUUGAAGACUAACUACUGCGAAAGCAUUUGCCAAGGAUGUUUUCAUUAAUCAAGAACGAAAGUUAGGGGAUCGAAGACGAUCAGAUACCGUCGUAGUCUUAACCAUAAACUAUGCCGACUAGGGAUCGGAUGAUGUUAAUUUUUUAANGACUCAUUCGGCGCCUUACG
This 520-nucleotide unclassified non-coding RNA is filed under the name uncultured Glomus. RNAcentral's name for it is "SSU rRNA". It matches the Rfam family "Eukaryotic small subunit ribosomal RNA", at positions 569 to 1092 of the family's 1831-position model. Lineage: Eukaryota; Fungi; Glomeromycota; Glomeromycetes; Glomerales; Glomeraceae. The record is from RNAcentral.